Molecule: ribosomal RNA, 982 nt
Filed under: uncultured bacterium
Lineage: Bacteria
Description: bacterial SSU rRNA
Rfam family: Bacterial small subunit ribosomal RNA
Source: RNAcentral
GUCCAGCUCUACGGAGCACACUGGGAAUUGAACAUUGCGGAAGCCUGUCUAGCCAUACGUGUGAGGAAGAAGGCCUCGGCUUGUAAGCUUUCUAGCGGAAAGAAUUGCUUCUGUAUACUAGAGUAGAGGCGGUCCGGAAGAGAAGCACUGGCUAAUACGGUCCAGCAGCCGCUGUAAUACGUAGGGUGCGAUCGUUAUUCUGAAUUACUGGCGUUAUAGCGUGAGCAGGCGGGUUUGUAUAGUCAGAUGGGAAUUCCCGUGGCUCAACCUGCGAACUCCAUUGAAACUCGAAGACUAGAGUAUAGCAGAGGGGGGUAGAAUUCCACGUGUAGCAGUGAUAUGCGUAGAUAUGUGGAGGAAUACCAAUGGCGAAGGCAGCCCCUUGGGUUAAUACUGACGCUCAUGCACGAAAGCGUGGGGAGCAAACAGGAUUAGAUACCCUGGUAGUCCACGCCAUAAACGAUGUCAACUAGGUGUUGGGGAAGGAGACUUCCUUAGUACCGUAGCUAACGCGUGAAGUUGACCGCCUGGGGAGUACGGUCGCAAGAUUAAAACUCAAAGGAAUUGACGGGGACCAGCACACCCUUGACAUGUCAGAAAGAUCGCAGAGAUGUGAUUGUGCUCGAAAGAGAAUCUGAACACAGGUGCUGCAUGGCUGUCGUCAGCUCGUGUCGUGAGAUGUUGGGUUAAGUCCCGCAACGAGCGCAACCCUUGUCAUUAAUGCCAUCAUUUAGUUGGGCACUUUAAUGAGACUGCCGGUGAUAAACCGGAGGAAGGUGGGGAUGACGUCAAGUCCUCAUGGCCCUUAUGGGUAGGGCUUCACACGUAAUACAAUGGCGCGUACAGAGGGUUGCCAACCCGCGAGGGGGAGCUAAUCUCAGAAAGCGCGUUGUAGUCGGGAUUGGAGUGAGCAACUCGAGUCCAUGAAGUUGGACUCGAUAGUAACUGCGGAUGUGCUUGUCGUGCAGAAUAAGUACCUCGG